Long non-coding RNA from Homo sapiens (human), 527 nucleotides. RefSeq lists it as uncharacterized. The transcript is spliced from 3 exons. NCBI's taxonomy places the organism in Eukaryota, Metazoa, Chordata, Mammalia, Primates, Hominidae. The record is from RefSeq and is a predicted model, not a curated record.
AUAACUGCAUGAUAAUACUUCCCAUAAAUUAUAGUAAUGUUAAUUGUCUCCCUCAAAGCAAGGCCAUUAAGCCGCUUACUGCUUCUACCUUAAUAAUUUAUUUUGAUAUUUCUUGUGGCCCUACCUUUUCAACGGUCUUUUACUUUUUACCCAGAGGGGAUGUAAACACCUCCCUGACAGUCCUUUGUUGUAUAUUUCAUCUCUAAGUAUAACAGGAGAGGGAAGCAAAUGACCAAAUAGGUCGUGAUAAGCUCUGCAGCCAACCAAGACAAAAGGCUCUAGAAGACUACAGUAGGAAGAGCUUCAUUCGGAAAUACAAAUCCUAACACAUGGAAAAAAGCCUGGGGGAGACUGGAAAAUGCACAUGGCUAACAAGCUCCUGGAAUGCCCGUGCUGUUGCUCUAUAGGACCACAGGCUUUUUUCUUCUUUGUAAAUUGGAGAUAAAAAUAAUGUCUACCUCCUGGGGUUUUGAGAAGAUUAAACAUAAUAAUGGACAUGAGCACCUUGGACAAGUACCUGGCCUCAA